RNA transcript from Triticum dicoccoides, 938 nucleotides. RefSeq lists it as uncharacterized. The transcript has 5 exons. NCBI's taxonomy places the organism in Eukaryota, Viridiplantae, Streptophyta, Magnoliopsida, Poales, Poaceae. The record is from RefSeq and is a predicted model, not a curated record.
UUAAUGAGUCUGUUGCUGAAAAGGACAAUUCACCACAACUUGGCAGUUCCAUGGAGAAAGAUAACUUACCAUUGCCUGACAGACCUCCGAUGCAAAAAGGCCCCAACCAUCUGUGCCUGUCGAUGCUCGAAGCAAUCCGAGCAAGUGGGGCAGAUAGAAGUAGAAACAUCGCCUGGGUAAUCAUAGGGCUUUCUUUUUUCCAAAUUCUUCUGGACCUUCUUGUGGUCUUUGUUACCACCACACAUUCUCAUGAGUGGUUCCCUUUUGGUCUUCGUGCUCUUUCAGUAGGCAAGGCAUCUUUUGGAGACCCAAGAAUUUUUGUUAACGUUGCUGUAAAUGGACGGUUUCUUAUUAGUAUGCCUGUACGAGCGAUUCCUGUGCUUGAGCUUCGGCUCGUGGGCACUUACCGCCACAUCACUUGGUUGCUUAUGGGCAACAAUGACAGCUAUCACAAUCAUGUUGCUGUCCAUCCGGACUAUCAGGCUACUUGGCUAGAAGCUGUAUUUUUGUCAGGACUGCAGGGUAUGAGAUCGAUGUAUACAUGCAUGCCCUAGACUCAGGUGCCCCGGAGUGAAAUGGGAGUCGAACGGCUAGACAUGCCAUACAAUGUUGCCUUCUUUUCCGCAAUACCCUGAUUACCCAAUUCCUGAUGUACAUUCCGAUUCGUGUCUUUACUGCAGAACUUUAGCUCAUAGAGCAGAAAACUCGUAUCAUCUCUCUAUGUAUGGUGUCGAGCAAUGGAACUGCAGUGAUCUGGCAGUGUGACUGUUGACCUCCUUGACACCAUUCACGUUCGUCGCUCUGAACCCACUCAGCAGACAAGUUGGCAUAGACAUGUUUACAUCAGCAAUCUUUUCUUUGAGAUAUCUGGUGGCCUUUCGUAACCAUCGAAUUCAAGUCAUCUUUGAGUACAUGACAUCUUCUGAAGUUCGUGCCAU